GCCGGAAAAGUUCACAAAUUCCACAUGCCUGUACUCUCUCUGAACUCACUGCUCUCUCUGACUCUGACUCUUUGACCCUCUGCGCUCUAUCUCCCUCUUCAUGCAUAUAUCGAUCGAGAUAAACACACCCUCUCUCUCUCUCUCUCUCUCUAUCUCUCUCUCGUCCAGUCAAGUUCAUGCAUAUUUCGUUGAGUUAACUUUCUGACAUGUCUCACUGCAAGAGCUCUAUAUAACACUUCUUUUAAGAUCAAUCAUUCAAAAAAAAGAAAAAGAAAAAGAGAAGAUGGCAAAUCACGCUUCAUGGCGGAAUUACCUUCAGACCCAUCUCAUGUGUGCGAUUAACGGUCAUCAGCUCACCGAAGGGGCUAUUGUUGCCCGACAGGGCUCCAUUUUGGCCCAAACCGAGGAAUUUCCUUCAUUUCGGGCAACAGAAAUGGCAAUUCUACUGCGUGAACUUAGAGAACCGGGAUCAACUACAGUGACCAAGGAAGGCUUUCUUUUCGGAGGCCAGAAUUAUACUACUGAAGACGGACUAAAUGAUGAUAUGAUUCUAGGGACCCGGCCGGGGCUCAAUAUUACUUUUAAGCUGACCCCAACCACCAUUAUCAUUGGAACAUAUAACCCUGCAGUGUCGAAUCCGGCGGUCUGUAACCAAAUUGUCCGCAAUCUGGGGGAUUUCCUUGUUAGCCGCGGUGUCUAGGAAUUAGAAGCAUAGGCAAGCGAGGAGCGUGGAGUACGUGUUUACCAAGUGGUUACUGUCCCUAGUGCGAUGGACUUAUAUUAUAUCUUUGAACUGGUGCUUUCUCGAGUUCUUAAGUAGUACCAUUAUCUUAUCUUAAUUUAUCCUACUUUGUAGUCUGUUAAGUGUGAGCGUUUUAUGUAUUAAUGCCAGAU
This is a long non-coding RNA of Rosa rugosa (rugosa rose), 894 nucleotides long. RefSeq lists it as uncharacterized. The record is from RefSeq and is a predicted model, not a curated record. The transcript has 4 exons. NCBI's taxonomy places the organism in Eukaryota, Viridiplantae, Streptophyta, Magnoliopsida, Rosales, Rosaceae.